GAAGUUUCUCAAACUUGUGUAAAUAUUUAAGUGUGUCAAACACUUAUAUUUCAUCUCUUAAGUUGUUGGCUGAGAUGAAAGUCUUGGGCUUAAUACCUGCCAAGGUAUUGCAUGAUUCAUGCUUUGUUGGACAUGCUGAAGGUGCAAAAGCAAAUUACGAAUACUACAGAGAAGCAUUUACAGACUGUAAUACAGCCCUGUAUUCAUCCAGUUCUGAAGAUCUCUGGGAUAUGAAUGCUGCAGUUUGUUGAGCUCUUCUCCUUUCCAUGUAGCCUAUUUCUGGUUCAAUGGUUUGUGAGACUUUGAUCCUGUCAUUCUCAACAAUCUGAUCCAUCCAUGCUUAGGAAAACGAUGUACUCAUUUGAUCCAUUUUUGAUGGAUUCUGCUUGCAUUUUUUAUUGGAAGUCUAAGAUCCAAACGUGCUUCAAUACGUAAAGUUCUAUGCUUCUGGGUUAUAUGAUUUGUUAUGGCCCUUCAUGAGAAAUGUUUUUGGCACUGGUUGCUUCUAUUCAACAUCAUGCACCGGCAUAUAAGUCAAUGGAUGCUUUUUGCUGACUUGAAACGGCGGAAGUCUUUUACUAAGGAUCGGAAGGCAUUAUUUACUAUCCUCUGCUGCCUUAUCUGGCAAAGACGCAACAAGCUGAUACAUGCAGAAGCUGGCGGGGAUAUGUCUACGGUGUUGGCAGGAGCAAAUGCUAUAAUGGGUUGUUCAGCAUUGACGGCAAAGCGACUCAGUGAAGCCAACACAGGAGGAGCAACAACUGGAGUG
This is a long non-coding RNA of Neltuma alba, 769 nucleotides long. RefSeq lists it as uncharacterized. The transcript is spliced from 4 exons. The record is from RefSeq and is a predicted model, not a curated record. NCBI's taxonomy places the organism in Eukaryota, Viridiplantae, Streptophyta, Magnoliopsida, Fabales, Fabaceae.